AGAGUUUGAUCAUGGCUCAGAUUGAACGCUGGCGGUAGGCCUAACACAUGCAAGUCGAGCGAGAACGCACCUUCGGGUGUUAUUAUAGCGGCGGACGGGGGAGUAACGCGUGGGAAUCUACCCAGUAGCGGGGGAUAACUUGUGGAAACGCAAGCUAAUACCGCAUACGCCCUAAGGGGGAAAGUAGGGGAUCUUCGGACCUUACACUAUUGGAUGAGCCCGCGUCGGAUUAGCUAGUUGGUGGGGUAAAGGCCCACCAAGGCGACGAUCCGUAGCUGGUCUGAGAGGAUGAUCAGCCACACUGGGACUGAGACACGGUCCAGACUCCUACGGGAGGCAGCAGUGGGGAAUAUUGCACAAUGGGCGCAAGCCUGAUGCAGCCAUACCGCGUGUGUGAAGAAGGCUCUAGGGUCGUAAAGCACUUUAAGCAGGGAGGAAGGCCUAAUGGUUAAUAUCCAUUAGGAUUGACGUUACCUGCAGAAUAAGCACCGGCUAACUCCGUGCCAGCAGCCGCGGUAAUACGGAGGGUGCAAGCGUUAAUCGGAAUUACUGGGCGUAAAGCGCGCGUAGGCGGUAUUGUAAGUGGGAUGUGAAAGCCCCGGGCUCAACCUGGGAACUGCAUUCCGAACUGGGUAGCUAGAGUACAGUAGAGGGUGGUGGAAUUUCCAGUGUAGCGGUGAAAUGCGUAGAGAUUGGAAGGAACAUCAGUGGCGAAGGCGGCCACCUGGAUUGAUACUGACGCUGAGGUGCGAAAGCGUGGGGAGCAAACAGGAUUAGAUACCCUGGUAGUCCACGCUGUAAACGAUGUCAACUAGCCGUUGGGUUCCUUGAGGACUGAGUGGCGCAGCUAACGCGAUAAGUUGACCGCCUGGGGAGUACGGCCGCAAGGUUAAAACUCAAAUGAAUUGACGGGGGCCCGCACAAGCGGUGGAGCAUGUGGUUUAAUUCGAUGCAACGCGAAGAACCUUACCAGGUCUUGACAUCCCGAGAAGUUACUAGAGAUAGUUUCGUGCCUUCGGGAACUGUGAGACAGGUGCUGCAUGGCUGUCGUCAGCUCGUGCUGUGAAGUGUUGGGUUAAGUCCCGUAACGAGCGCAACCCUUGUCCUGAGUUACCGUCAUUGAGUUGGGUACUUUAAGGAGACUGCCGGUGACAAACCGGAGGAAGGCGGGGACGACGUCAAGUCAUCAUGGCCCUUACGAGUAGGGCUACACACGUGCUACAAUGGCUGGUACAAACGGUUGCAAUCUCGCGAGGGUGAGCUAAUCUGAGAAAGCCAGUCGUAGUCCGGAUCGGAGUCUGCAACUCGACUCCGUGAAGUCGGAAUCGCUAGUAAUCGUGAAUCAGAAUGUCACGGUGAAUACGUUCCCGGGCCUUGUACACACCGCCCGUCACACCAUGGGAGUGGGUUGCAAAAGAAGUAGCUAGUCUAACCGCAAGGGGGAC
Molecule: ribosomal RNA, 1445 nt
Filed under: uncultured prokaryote
Description: partial 16S ribosomal RNA
Rfam family: Bacterial small subunit ribosomal RNA
Source: RNAcentral